Molecule: non-coding RNA, 1840 nt
Organism: Arvicanthis niloticus (Nile rat)
Lineage: Eukaryota; Metazoa; Chordata; Mammalia; Rodentia; Muridae
Source: RefSeq, a predicted model, not a curated record
CGGUCUCUUUUAAACUCGGUCCCGCCCUGGCGCCCUGCUUUUUCGCCCGGCGGGUUCCUGAUUCGGUGCUGUGUCCAGGAUGCUGAUGAAGUUAAGCUCUGGACUUUGAGGUGAACUGGUCUGACUUCCGGAAGAGAAGGUCUGUACCAUGUGGAUGCAGCACCCAUGGAGGCCAGAAGAGGGCAUCAAAUCCCCCUGGGGUUGGAGUUAAAGUUGUGAACUACCACCAUGUGGGUGCUAGAAAUUGAACCUAACUCCAAGAAAAGCAGCCAGCCCAGGCUCUUAAUUGCUAAGCUCUAAACUUUGGCAACUCAGAAUUGUUCAACAUGCUGUUGAGAGAUCUAGUGUCCCCAGGAGAGUGAGGUAUAUGGUAGGAUCCACUUGGUGUCCUGGCUCAGUACUUGCUAUGUGUACUCUUAAAAAAUGUAGCUGGAAUGAGCUGACAACCUUUGUGAUUUAAACUACCGGGUAGAUACUUCCUUAUGUUCAAAUGCCCUAUAGAGAAAUGAAGCAGAUUGAAGUUAAUGUUUCCAGUCAUAAGCCCAGCCUGAGCUAGCUGUGCAGUGAUGGUGCACUGUUUUAAUCCUGGCAGAGGCAGGUGGAUUUCUGAGUUUGAGGCCAGCCUGGCCUACAGAGGAAAUUCCAGAAAAGCUAAGGCUACUCAAAGACACCAAAAUACUCCAGCCUGAUCCUGUCAGGCACAGACCUCCUGACUUGAGCUAUAUAAGCUAGUCCUGCUAGUUCAAUAAUUGAGCUGUCCUCCAAAACAGUCUCCUCAGUCAUUCAUACCUGCUGAACCCUUGUCCAAGACCUUGCUCCUCAUUUCUUCUGUAUCCUGAUACCACCAGUGUGUAACAACUGAUUAGGAUCCAGUGAGUCACAUCUGCUGGUGAAACAGACUCUGACAAAUGGAAGAGGGAUAUUACAACAGACCAUGAUGUGCUCCUGAGGAAAUUGUUACAGGCUUAACAUAUACUACCCACCCUAUGCAGACAGCCCCCUGCUGGGUUUCUGCUCCCUUGUUGUGAUCACUCUACAGGUUUAUCUCUGCAAAAGGGAAAAAGACAGUGCUGCCACCACAGGCCAGGAGACCCAGACAGAGACCUAUCAGACAUCUCCUUGGACCUGCUUGGGGCAAUGCUGCCUUUGUCCAGACAUAUCAUCUAACUGAAGACUUCUGAGACAAGCAGAAGCUGACAGUCUUGGGACCUUCCAGUGACAGAUAAUCUCUCUUGCCAGAGCCUAAUGGCUACCGUACCUGGGGAAACUUUCAUGAUGUCUAUAUAGAUGUUGUUUAAAACCGAUGUUAAUACCUUCACAAACUGUAUACAAACUCAUUCUCAGUUUUAGUCCACUAAAUAUUUGAUUCAGUAACCCCUUGUUUUCCCAGCCCCCACCCCUCAUUACCCCUCUGGCUUAUGUGUUUUAUUUUGAUGCUUACCCCACCUGACCCGAAAUUUUCACUGCAGAUAACAUAAGAGACUGUUGCCCCAAUGAUGCCUCUCCUUUAUAGAAAAGAAAAGGUGCUGUGGAACAGUGGACCAUGCCAGGAAACUUGGUGAGGUUGAGCAGGUUGGAAGCCCCUGAACCUCUGAGGGCUGUAGGAGCUUCAUCUGCUCCCAACUGGGCCCCUGAUAGGGGACCACACUCCCUCCCUGAUGUACCCCAGAUCAGAGUUCUCCAUGCUAAUGAGGUAUCUAUAGGCCCUGAGGGUUUAGCCAAUAAGCAUCCCUUCCCUGACAUUUCUUCCUGCAAAACGUACUUAAUCUUUGGUCCACUCUGAGCAUAUGGUAUGUACCCAUUUUCCAUGAUGAACAAUCAAUAAACAGUUUAGAACCAA